Molecule: ribosomal RNA, 253 nt
Filed under: uncultured bacterium
Lineage: Bacteria
Description: partial 16S ribosomal RNA
Rfam family: Bacterial small subunit ribosomal RNA
Source: RNAcentral
UACGGGGGGGGCAAGCGUUGUUCGGAAUUACUGGGCGGAAAGGGCUCGUAGGUGGCCAACUAAGUCGGACGUGAAAUCCCUCAGCUUAACUGGGGAACUGCGUCCGAUACUGGAUGGCUUGAGUUUGGGAGAGGGAUGCGGAAUUCCAGGUGUAGCGGUGAAAUGCGUAGAGAUCAGCAGGAACACCCGUGGCGAAGGCGGCCCCCUGGGCCGUACCUGACGCUGAGGCGCGAAGGCUAGGGGAGCGAACGGG